AACCUUCGCAAUGCGGGAAACCGCGACGAGGUCAGCCGGAGUGCCGAUGCUCGCAUCGGCUGUCGGGGAGUCUAAAAAGCUCCCCAUAGCAAGGGCCGGGCAAGGCCGGUGGCAGCCGCCGCGGUAAUACCGGCGGCCCGAGUGGCGGUCACUAUUAUUGGGCUUAAAGCGUCCGUAGCCGGAUUGGUUAGUUUCCCGGGAAAUCUGGCCGCUUAACGGUCAGAAUUCCGGGAGAUACUGCCAGCCUAGGGACCGGGAGAGGCCGAGGGUAUUCCCGGAGUAGGGGUGAAAUCCUAUAAUCCCGGGAGGACCACUUGUGGCGAAGGCGCUCGGCUGGAACGGGUCCGACGGUGAGGGACGAAGGCCAGGGGAGCAAACCGGAUUAGAUACCCGGGUAGUCCUGGCUGUAAACGAUGCGGACUAGGUGUCGGACAAGCUAUGAGCUUGUCCGGUGCCGGAGGGAAACCGUUAAGUCCGCCGCCUGGGGAGUACGCCCGCAAGCAUUCCGUGA
RNAcentral lists this ribosomal RNA (511 nucleotides) under uncultured euryarchaeote. RNAcentral's name for it is "bacterial SSU rRNA". It matches the Rfam family "Archaeal small subunit ribosomal RNA", at positions 345 to 859 of the family's 1478-position model. Lineage: Archaea; Methanobacteriati; Methanobacteriota. The record is from RNAcentral.